This 640-nucleotide ribosomal RNA is filed under the name uncultured archaeon. RNAcentral's name for it is "bacterial SSU rRNA". It matches the Rfam family "Archaeal small subunit ribosomal RNA", at positions 197 to 840 of the family's 1478-position model. The record is from RNAcentral.
CGUUGCCUAAGAUGGAGCCGCGGCCGAUCAGGUUGUUGGUGAGGUAAUGGCUCACCAAGCCUAUAACCGGUACGGGCCAUGAGAGUGGGAGCCCGGAGAUGGGCACUGAGACAAGGGCCCAGGCCCUACGGGGCGCAGCAGUUGCGAAACCUCCACAAUGCACGAAAGUGCGAUGGGGCUAACCCGAGUGCCGUCCGCUGAGGAGGGCUUUUCUCCGCUGUAAGGAGGCGGAGGAAUAAGGAGAGGGCAAGACUGGUGUCAGCCGCCGCGGUAAUACCAGCUCUCCGAGUGGUAGGGACGAUUAUUGGGCCUAAAGCGUUCGUAGCCGGCUUGGCAAGUCUCUCGUUAAAUCCAGUGACCUAAUCGCUGGGCUGCGGGAGAUACUGUCAGGCUUGGGAGCGGAAGAGGUCGACGGUAUUCUCGGGGUAGGGGUGAAAUCCUGUAAUCCCGGGAGGACCACCAGUGGCGAAGGCUGUCGACUAGAACGCGUCCGACGGUGAGGGACGAAAGCUGGGGGAGCGAACCGGAUUAGAUACCCGGGUAGUCCCAGCUGUAAACUAUGCGGGCUAGGUGUCAGUGUGGCUACGAGCCACUCUGGUGCCGCAGGGAAGCUCAUAAGCCCGCCGCCUGGGAAGUACGG